UGGGGAAUAUUGCACAAUGGGCGCAAGCCUGAUGCAGCCAUGCCGCGUGUAUGAAGAAGGCCUUCGGGUUGUAAAGUACUUUCAGUCGGGAGGAAGGUGGUAAGGUUAAUAACCUUGGCAAUUGACGUUACCGACAGAAGAAGCACCGGCUAACUCCGUGCCAGCAGCCGCGGUAAUACGGAGGGUGCAAGCGUUAAUCGGAAUUACUGGGCGUAAAGCGCACGCAGGCGGUUGAUUGAGUCAGAUGUGAAAUCCCCGGGCUUAACCCGGGAAUUGCAUCUGAUACUGGUCAGCUAGAGUCUUGUAGAGGGGGGUAGAAUUCCAUGUGUAGCGGUGAAAUGCGUAGAGAUGUGGAGGAAUACCGGUGGCGAAGGCGGCCCCCUGGGCAAAGACUGACGCUCAGGUGCGAAAGCGUGGGGAGCAAACAGG
RNAcentral lists this ribosomal RNA (429 nucleotides) under Chloroflexota bacterium. RNAcentral describes it as "Chloroflexi bacterium partial 16S ribosomal RNA". It matches the Rfam family "Bacterial small subunit ribosomal RNA", at positions 355 to 776 of the family's 1533-position model. Lineage: Bacteria; Bacillati; Chloroflexota. The record is from RNAcentral.